GACGAACGCUGGCGGCGUGCUUAACACAUGCAAGUCGAACGAUGAACCCGGAGCUUGCUCCGGUGGAUUAGUGGCGAACGGGUGAGUAACACGUGAGUAACCUGCCCUUGACUCUGGGAUAACUGCGGGAAACUGUAGCUAAUACCGGAUACGACCCUCGGCGGCAUCGCCAGGGGGUGGAAAGAAUUUCGGUCAAGGAUGGACUCGCGGCCUAUCAGCUAGUUGGUGAGGUAACGGCUCACCAAGGCGACGACGGGUAGCCGGCCUGAGAGGGUGACCGGCCACACUGGGACUGAGACACGGCCCAGACUCCUACGGGAGGCAGCAGUGGGGAAUAUUGCGCAAUGGGCGGAAGCCUGAUGCAGCAACGCCGCGUGAGGGAUGACGGCCUUCGGGUUGUAAACCUCUUUCAGCAUCGACGAAGCGAAAGUGACGGUAGGUGCAGAAGAAGGACCGGCCAACUACGUGCCAGCAGCCGCCGUAA
Molecule: ribosomal RNA, 484 nt
Filed under: uncultured bacterium
Lineage: Bacteria
Description: partial 16S ribosomal RNA
Rfam family: Bacterial small subunit ribosomal RNA
Source: RNAcentral